GAUCUUGGUUCAGGAUGAACGCUAGCUACAGGCUUAACACAUGCAAGUCGAGGGGCAGCAUUGGAGUAGCAAUACUCAGAUGGCGACCGGCGCACGGGUGAGUAACACGUAUCCAACCUGCCGCUUACUCGGGGAUAGCCUUCGUUUAAAGAAAGAUUAAUACCCGAUGGUAUAAAGAGUUCGCAUGUUCUCUUUAUUAAAGAAUUUCGGUAAGCGAUGGGGAUGCGUUCCAUUAGAUAGUUGGCGGGGUAACGGCCCACCAAGUCUACGAUGGAUAGGGGUUCUGAGAGGAAGGUCCCCCACAUUGGAACUGAGACACGGUCCAAACUCCUACGGGAGGCAGCAGUGAGGAAUAUUGGUCAAUGGACGAGAGUCUGAACCAGCCAAAAGUAGCGUGAAGGAUGACUGCCCUAUGGGUUGUAAACUUCUUUUAUAAGGGAAUAAAGUGAGGGACGUGUCCCUUUUUGUAUGUACCUUAUGAAUAAGGAUCGGCUAACUCCGUGCCAGCCGCCGC
Molecule: ribosomal RNA, 514 nt
Filed under: uncultured bacterium
Lineage: Bacteria
Description: bacterial SSU rRNA
Rfam family: Bacterial small subunit ribosomal RNA
Source: RNAcentral